Molecule: ribosomal RNA, 938 nt
Filed under: Aureonarius rubrocastaneus
Lineage: Eukaryota; Fungi; Basidiomycota; Agaricomycetes; Agaricales; Cortinariaceae
Description: Cortinarius rubrocastaneus partial large subunit ribosomal RNA
Rfam family: Eukaryotic large subunit ribosomal RNA
Source: RNAcentral
CAUAUCAAUAAGCGGAGGAAAAGAAACUAACAAGGAUUCCCCUAGUAACUGCGAGUGAAGCGGGAAAAGCUCAAAUUUAAAAUCUGGCAGUCUUUGGCUGUCCGAAUUGUAAUCUAGAGAAGUGUUAUCCGCGUUGGACCGUGUACAAGUCUCCUGGAAUGGAGCGUCAUAGAGGGUGAGAAUCCCGUCUUUGACACGGACUGCCAGGGCUUUGUGAUGCGCUCUCAAAGAGUCGAGUUGUUUGGGAAUGCAGCUCAAAAUGGGUGGUAAAUUCCAUCUAAAGCUAAAUAUUGGCGAGAGACCGAUAGCGAACAAGUACCGUGAGGGAAAGAUGAAAAGAACUUUGGAAAGAGAGUUAAACAGUACGUGAAAUUGCUGAAAGGGAAACGCUUGAAGUCAGUCGCGUUGUCCAGGGAUCAACCUUGCUUUUGCCUGGUGUACUUUCUGGUUAACGGGUCAGCAUCAAUUUUGGCCAUUGGAAAAAGGUCAGGGGAAUGUGGCAUCUUUAGAUGUGUUUAUAGCCCUUGGUUGCAUACAAUGGUUGGGAUUGAGGAACUCAGCACGCCGAAAGGCCGGGUUUUUAACCACGUACGUGCUUAGGAUGCUGGCAUAAUGGCUUUAAUCGACCCGUCUUGAAACACGGACCAAGGAGUCUAACAUGCCUGCGAGUGUUUGGGUGGAAAACCCGAGCGCGCAAUGAAAGUGAAAGUUGAGAUCCCUGUCGUGGGGAGCAUCGACGCCCGGACCAGACCUUUUGUGACGGUUCCGCGGUAGAGCAUGUAUGUUGGGACCCGAAAGAUGGUGAACUAUGCCUGAAUAGGGUGAAGCCAGAGGAAACUCUGGUGGAGGCUCGUAGCGAUUCUGACGUGCAAAUCGAUCGUCAAAUUUGGGUAUAGGGGCGAAAGACUAAUCGAACCAUCUAGUAGCUGGUUCCUGCC